Molecule: non-coding RNA, 98 nt
Organism: Acanthosepion pharaonis
Lineage: Eukaryota; Metazoa; Mollusca; Cephalopoda; Sepiida; Sepiidae
Source: the annotation of a GenBank genome assembly
AUUGAAACACUGUUUCUUGUAUGAUCACUGAAGUUAAGCAAUGUUGAGACUGAUCAGUACCUAGAAGAGUGACCACUUGUGAAUACCAGGUGUUGUAA